CCCAGACUCCUACGGGAGGCAGCAGUGGGGAAUAUUGCACAAUGGGGGAAACCCUGAUGCAGCGACGCCGCGUGAGUGAAGAAGUAUUUCGGUAUGUAAAGCUCUAUCAGCAGGGAAGAAAUAGCGACCUUUGGGUCGCCAGACGGUACCUGACUAAGAAGCCCCGGCUAACUACGUGCCAGCAGCCGCGGUAAUACGUAUGGGGCAAGCGUUAUCCGGAUUUACUGGGUGUAAAGGGAGCGCAGGCGGCCUGCCAAGUCUGGUGUGAAAACCCGGGGCCCAACCCCGGGCCUGCAUUGGAAACUGGCGGGCUGGAGUGUCGGAGGGGCAGGCGGAAUUCCUAGUGUAGCGGUGAAAUGCGUAGAUAUUAGGAGGAACACCGGUGGCGAAGGCGGCUUACUGGACUGUAACUGACGUUGAGGCUCGAAAGCGUGGGGAGCAAACAGGAUUAGAUACCCGAGUA
RNAcentral lists this ribosomal RNA (463 nucleotides) under uncultured bacterium. Its description in RNAcentral is "bacterial SSU rRNA". It matches the Rfam family "Bacterial small subunit ribosomal RNA", at positions 330 to 792 of the family's 1533-position model. The record is from RNAcentral.